GACGAACGCUGGCGGCGUGCCUAAUACAUGCAAGUAGAACGCUGAAGAGAGGAGCUUGCUCUUCUUGGAUGAGUUGCGAACGGGUGAGUAACGCGUAGGUAACCUGCCUUGUAGCGGGGGAUAACUAUUGGAAACGAUAGCUAAUACCGCAUAACAAUGGAUGACACAUGUCAUUUAUAUGAAAGGGGCAAUUGCUCCACUACAAGAUGGACCUGCGUUGUAUUAGCUAGUAGGUGAGGUAACGGCUCACCUAGGCGACGAUACAUAGCCGACCUGAGAGGGUGCUCGGCCACACCGGGACUGAGACACGGCCCAGACUCCUACGGGAGGCAGCAGUAGGGAAUCUUCGGCAAUGGGGGCAACCCUGACCGAGCAACGCCGCGUGAGUGAAGAAGGUUUUCGGAUCGUAAAGCUCUGUUGUAAGUCAAGAACGAGUGUGAGAGUGGAAAGUUCACACUGUGACGGUAGCUUACCAGAAAGGGACGGCUAACUACGUG
RNAcentral lists this ribosomal RNA (497 nucleotides) under uncultured bacterium. Its description in RNAcentral is "partial 16S ribosomal RNA". It matches the Rfam family "Bacterial small subunit ribosomal RNA", at positions 28 to 507 of the family's 1533-position model. The record is from RNAcentral.